GACGAACGCUGGCGGCGUGCUUAACACAUGCAAGUCGAACGGAAAGGCCUUGCUUGCCGGGUGCCCGAGUGGCGAACGGGUGAGUAACACGUGGGUGAUCUGCCCCUUACUUUGGGAUAAGCCUGGGAAACUGGGUCUAAUACUGGAUAGGACCAUGCUGUAGGUGGUGUGGUGGAAAGAUUAGUUUCGGUAAGGGAUGAGCUCGCGGCCUAUCAGCUUGUUGGUGGGGUAAUGGCCUACCAAGGCGUCGACGGGUAGCCGGCCUGAGAGGGUGGACGGCCACAUUGGGACUGAGAUACGGCCCAGACUCCUACGGGAGGCAGCAGUGGGGAAUAUUGCACAAUGGGCGCAAGCCUGAUGCAGCGACGCCGCGUGGGGGAUGACGGCCUUCGGGUUGUAAACUCCUUUCAGCCAUGACGAAGCCCUUGUGGUGACGGUAGUGGUAGAAGAAGCACCGGCUAACUACGUG
This 469-nucleotide ribosomal RNA is filed under the name uncultured bacterium. RNAcentral describes it as "partial 16S ribosomal RNA". It matches the Rfam family "Bacterial small subunit ribosomal RNA", at positions 28 to 507 of the family's 1533-position model. The record is from RNAcentral.